GGCAAACUGCUCAGUAACACGUAGCUAACCUACCCUCAGGACGGAGACAACCCCGGGAAACUGGGGUUAAUCUCCGAUAGGCGUGGAUUCCUGGAAUGGUGUCACGCCGAAACGUUAACACACCAUGUUUGUGUACACGCCUGAGGAUGGGGCUGCGGCCGAUCAGGCAGUUGGUGAGGUAACGGCUCACCAAACCUUUGACCGGUACGGGCCGUGAGAGCGGUAGCCCGGAGAUGGACACUGAGACAAGGGUCCAGGACCUACGGGUCGCAGCCGGUACGAAACCUCCACAAUGCACGCAAGUGCGAUGGGGUUACCUCGAGUGCCGCCUGAAGAAGGCGGCUUUUCCAUUGUGUAAUGAGCCGUGGGAAUAAGGGGGGGGCAAGACUGGUGUCAGCCGCCGCGGUAACACCAGCCCCCCGAGUGGUGGGGAUGUUUAUUUGGCCUAAAACGUCCGUAGCCAGCUAGGUAAAUCUCUCGUUAAAUCCAGCGUCCUAAGCGUUGGGCUGCGAGAGAGACUGCCAAGCUAGAGGGUGGGAGAGGUCAGCGGUAUUUCUGGGGUAGGGGCGAAACCCAUUGAUCCCAGGAGGACCGCCAGUGGCGAAGGCUGCUGACUAGAACACGCCUGACGGUGAGGGACGAAAGCUGGGGUAGCGAAUCGGAUUAGAUACCCGAGUAGUCCCAGCCGUAAACGAUGCAGGCUAGGUGUUGGGUUGGCCACGUGCCGACUCAGUGCCACAGGGAAGCCAUUAAGCCUGCUGCCUGGGGAGUACGGUCGCAAGGCUGAAACUUAAAGGAAUUGGCGGGAGAGCACCACCAGGCGUGAAGCCUGCGGUUU
RNAcentral lists this ribosomal RNA (838 nucleotides) under uncultured archaeon. RNAcentral's name for it is "bacterial SSU rRNA". It matches the Rfam family "Archaeal small subunit ribosomal RNA", at positions 80 to 903 of the family's 1478-position model. The record is from RNAcentral.